This 500-nucleotide ribosomal RNA is filed under the name uncultured bacterium. Its description in RNAcentral is "partial 16S ribosomal RNA". It matches the Rfam family "Bacterial small subunit ribosomal RNA", at positions 30 to 523 of the family's 1533-position model. The record is from RNAcentral.
AUUGAACGCUGGCGGAAUGCCUAACACAUGCAAGUCGAGCGGAUGACGGGAGCUUGCUCCUUGAUUCAGCGGCGGACGGGUGAGUAAUGCCUAGGAAUCUGCCUGGUAGUGGGGGACAACGUUUCGAAAGGAACGCUAAUACCGCAUACGUCCUACGGGAGAAAGCAGGGGACCUUCGGGCCUUGCGCUAUCAGAUGAGCCUAGGUCGGAUUAGCUAGUUGGUGGGGUAAUGGCUCACCAAGGCGACGAUCCGUAACUGGUCUGAGAGGAUGAUCAGUCACACUGGAACUGAGACACGGUCCAGACUCCUACGGGAGGCAGCAGUGGGGAAUAUUGGACAAUGGGCGAAAGCCUGAUCCAGCCAUGCCGCGUGUGUGAAGAAGGUCUUCGGAUUGUAAAGCACUUUAAGUUGGGAGGAAGGGCAGUAAGUUAAUACCUUGCUGUUUUGACGUUACCGACAGAAUAAGCACCGGCUAACUCUGUGCCAGCAGCCGCCGUAA